Molecule: ribosomal RNA, 615 nt
Filed under: Curvularia eragrostidis
Lineage: Eukaryota; Fungi; Ascomycota; Dothideomycetes; Pleosporales; Pleosporaceae
Description: eukaryotic LSU rRNA
Rfam family: 5.8S ribosomal RNA (bases 232-385)
Source: RNAcentral
UGGAAGUAAAAAAUCGUAACAAGGUCUCCGUAGGUGAACCUGCGGAGGCAUUACACAAAAAAUAUGAAGGCUGCAACCGCCAGUUUUGGCGGGGAAGCUGAAUUAUUUUUCACCCAUGUCUUUUGCGCACUUGUUGUUUCCUGGGCGGGUUCGCCCGCCACCAGGACCACACCAUAAACCUUUUUUAUGCAGUUGCAAUCAGCGUCAGUAUAACAAAUGUAAAUCAUUUACAACUUUCAACAACGGAUCUCUUGGUUCUGGCAUCGAUGAAGAACGCAGCGAAAUGCGAUACGUAGUGUGAAUUGCAGAAUUCAGUGAAUCAUCGAAUCUUUGAACGCACAUUGCGCCCUUUGGUAUUCCAAAGGGCAUGCCUGUUCGAGCGUCAUUUGUACCCUCAAGCUUUGCUUGGUGUUGGGCGUUUUGUCUUUGGCUUUUGCCCCAAAGACUCGCCUUAAAACGAUUGGCAGCCGGCCUACUGGUUUCGGAGCGCAGCACAUUUUUGCGCUUGCAACCAGCUAAAGAGGCCAGCAAUCCAUCAAGACCUUCUUCUCACUUUUGACCUCGGAUCAGGUAGGGAUACCCGCUGAACUUAAGCAUAUCAAAAGCCGGGAGGAA